ACAGAGACGUCGAGCGUUGUUCGGAUUCAUUGGGCGUAAAGGGUGCGUAGGUGGUGAGGUAAGUCGGAUGUGAAAUCUCCGAGCUCAACUCGGAAAUGGCAUUGGAAACUACCUUGCUCGAGGGUUGGAGGGGGGACUGGAAUACUUGGUGUAGCAGUGAAAUGCGUAGAUAUCAAGUGGAACACCAGUGGCGAAGGCGAGUCCCUGGACAACUCCUGACACUGAGGCACGAAAGCUAGGGGAGCAAACAGGA
Molecule: ribosomal RNA, 253 nt
Filed under: uncultured prokaryote
Description: partial 16S ribosomal RNA
Rfam family: Bacterial small subunit ribosomal RNA
Source: RNAcentral